UACGUAGGGGGCAAGCGUUGUCCGGAAUCAUUGGGCGUAAAGCGCGUGUAGGCGGCUUGGUAAGUCCGUUCUGAAAGCCCACGGCUCAACCGUGGAGGGUCAUUGGAAACUGGGGGACUUGAGUACAGAAGAGAAGAGUGGAAUUCCACGUGUAGCGGUGAAAUGCGUAGAGAUGUGGAGGAACACCAGUGGCGAAGGCGACUCUUUGGUCUGUAACUGACGCUGAGGCGCGAAAGCGUGGGGAGCAAACAGG
Molecule: ribosomal RNA, 253 nt
Filed under: uncultured bacterium
Lineage: Bacteria
Description: partial 16S ribosomal RNA
Rfam family: Bacterial small subunit ribosomal RNA
Source: RNAcentral